Molecule: ribosomal RNA, 144 nt
Filed under: uncultured bacterium
Lineage: Bacteria
Description: partial 16S ribosomal RNA
Rfam family: Bacterial small subunit ribosomal RNA
Source: RNAcentral
GCACAGCAUGCGCGCAGCCUGACGGAGCACGCCGCGUGAGGGAUGAAGGCCUCUGGGCUGUAAACCUCUUUUAUCAAGGAAGAAGAUCUGACGGUACUUGAUGAAUAAGCCACGGCUAAUUCCGUGCCAGCAGCCGCGGUAAUA